GACGAACGCUGGCGGCGUGCCUAAUACAUGCAAGUCGAGCGGACGAAUCGAAAGCUUGCUUUUGAUUCGUUAGCGGCGGACGGGUGAGUAACACGUGGGCAACCUGCCCUGUAGACGGGGAUAACACCGAGAAAUCGGUGCUAAUACCGGAUAACACGAAAUGUCGCAUGGCGUUUCGUUGAAAGACGGCGCAAGCUGUCGCUACAGGAUGGGCCCGCGGCGCAUUAGCUAGUUGGUGAGGUAACGGCUCACCAAGGCGACGAUGCGUAGCCGACCUGAGAGGGUGAUCGGCCACACUGGGACUGAGACACGGCCCAGACUCCUACGGGAGGCAGCAGUAGGGAAUCUUCCGCAAUGGACGAAAGUCUGACGGAGCAACGCCGCGUGAGCGAAGAAGGCCUUCGGGUCGUAAAGCUCUGUUGUUAGGGAAGAACAAGUAACGCAGUAACUGGCGUUACCGUGACGGUACCUAACGAGAAAGCCACGGCUAACUACGUG
RNAcentral lists this ribosomal RNA (498 nucleotides) under uncultured bacterium. RNAcentral's name for it is "partial 16S ribosomal RNA". It matches the Rfam family "Bacterial small subunit ribosomal RNA", at positions 28 to 507 of the family's 1533-position model. The record is from RNAcentral.